ACGAACGCUGGCGGCGUGCCUAAUACAUGCAAGUCGAACGGUCUUUCUAUGGAAGCUUGCUUCCACUGAGAAGAUAGUGGCGAACGGGUGAGUAACACGUGGGUAACCUGCCCAUAAGAGGGGGAGUAACAUCCGGAAACGGGUGCUAAUACCGCAUAGUUUUCUUGAUCGCAUGAUUGAGAAAGGAAAGACGGCCUUUGUGCUGUCGCUUAUGGAUGGACCCGCGGCGUAUUAGUUAGUUGGUGAGGUAACGGCUCACCAAGACGAUGAUACGUAGCCGACCUGAGAGGGUGAUCGGCCACAUUGGGACUGAGACACGGCCCAAACUCCUACGGGAGGCAGCAGUAGGGAAUCUUCCGCAAUGGACGAAAGUCUGACGGAGCAACGCCGCGUGAGUGAAGAAAAGGGUUUUCGGAUCGUAAAACUCUGUUGUCAGAGAAGAACAAGUUGGAGAGUAACUGCUCCAGCCUUGACGGUAUCUGACCAGAAAGCCACGGCUAACUACGUGCCAGCCGCUGC
RNAcentral lists this ribosomal RNA (519 nucleotides) under uncultured bacterium. RNAcentral describes it as "bacterial SSU rRNA". It matches the Rfam family "Bacterial small subunit ribosomal RNA", at positions 29 to 518 of the family's 1533-position model. The record is from RNAcentral.